UACGAAGGGGGCUAGCGUUGCUCGGAAUUACUGGGCGUAAAGCGCACGUAGGCGGCUUCUUAAGUCGGUGGUGAAAUCCUGGAGCUCAACUCCAGAACUGCCUUCGAUACUGGGAAGCUCGAGUCCGGGAGAGGUGAGUGGGAACUGCGGAGUGUAGAGGUGAAAUUCGUAGAAUAUUCGCAAGAACACCAGUGGCGAAGGCGGCUUACUGGUCCGGUUCUGGACGCUGAGGCGCGAAAGCGUGGGGAGCAAACAGG
This 257-nucleotide ribosomal RNA is filed under the name uncultured bacterium. RNAcentral's name for it is "partial 16S ribosomal RNA". It matches the Rfam family "Bacterial small subunit ribosomal RNA", at positions 524 to 776 of the family's 1533-position model. The record is from RNAcentral.